GGCUCAGAAUGAACGCUGGCGGCGCGCCUAAUACAUGCAAGUCGAGCGAGAAGGUGUAGCAAUACACUUGUAAAGCGGCGAACGGGUGAGGAAUACAUGGGUAAUCUACCAUCGAGUGGGGAAUAACCAGCCGAAAGGUUGGCUAAUACCGCGUACGCCUCCGGAUCUUCGGGUUCGGAGGGAAAGCCACACUGUGAGUGCGGCGCUCUUUGAUGAGCUCAUGUCCUAUCAGCUUGUUGGUAGGGUAACGGCCUACCAAGGCUUUGACGGGUAGCUGGUCUGAGAGGACGAUCAGCCACACUGGCACUGCGACACGGGCCAGACUCCUACGGGAGGCAGCAGUAAGGAAUAUUGCGCAAUGGACGAAAGUCUGACGCAGCGACGCCGCGUGGGGGAUGAAGGUCUUCGGAUUGUAAACCCCUUUCGGGAGGGAAGAUGGAGUGGGUAACCACUUGGACGGUACCUCCAGAAGCAGCCACGGCUAACUUCGUGCCAGCAGCCGCGGUAAUACGAAGGUGGCAAGCGUUGUUCGGAUUCACUGGGCGUACAGGGAGCGUAGGCGGUUGGGUAAGCCCUCCGUGAAAUCUCCGGGCCUAACCCGGAAAGUGCAGAGGGGACUGCUCAGCUAGAGGAUGGGAGAGGAGCGCGGAAUUCCCGGUGUAGCGGUGAAAUGCGUAGAGA
This 681-nucleotide ribosomal RNA is filed under the name uncultured nitrite-oxidizing bacterium. Its description in RNAcentral is "bacterial SSU rRNA". It matches the Rfam family "Bacterial small subunit ribosomal RNA", at positions 21 to 696 of the family's 1533-position model. The record is from RNAcentral.